AACGAACGCUGGCGGCAUGCCUAACACAUGCAAGUCGAACGAGACCUUCGGGUCUAGUGGCGCACGGGUGCGUAACGCGUGGGAACCUGCCCUUAGGUUCGGAAUAACUCCCCGAAAGGGGUGCUAAUACCGGAUAAUGUCUUCCGACCAAAGAUUUAUCGCCUUUGGAUGGGCCCGCGUUGGAUUAGCUAGUUGGUAGGGUAAAAGCCUACCAAGGCGACGAUCCAUAGCUGGUUGGAGAGGAUGAUCAGCCACACUGGGACUGGGACACGGCCCAGACUCCUACGGAAGGCAGCAGUGGGGAAUAUUGGACAAUGGGCGAAAGCCUGAUCCAGCAAUGCCGCGUGAGUGAUGAAGGCCUUAGGGUUGUAAAGCUCUUUUACCCGGGAUGAUAAUGACAGUACCGGGAGAAUAAGCUCCGGCUAACUCCGUG
RNAcentral lists this ribosomal RNA (433 nucleotides) under uncultured bacterium. Its description in RNAcentral is "partial 16S ribosomal RNA". It matches the Rfam family "Bacterial small subunit ribosomal RNA", at positions 29 to 507 of the family's 1533-position model. The record is from RNAcentral.